CUCCGGGAGGCAGAUGCUCUGUGACUUGCUCAUCAAGCCCCACCAGCGCAUCACCAAGUACCCACUGCUGCUCCAUGCUGUGCUCAAGAGGAGCCCCGAAGCACGAGCCCAGGAGGCCCUGAAUGCCAUGGUCCGCCAGGGCGAAGAGCAAGAGAGCUUGGCGGCUGCAGCACAACGCAUCGGGCCCUAUGAGGUGCUGGAGCCACCCAGUGAUGAGGUGGAGAAGAACCUGCGUCCAUUCUCCACCCUGGACCUGAUGUCCCCCAUGCUGGGGGUUGCGUCUGAGCAC
Molecule: small RNA, 289 nt
Filed under: Pongo abelii (Sumatran orangutan)
Lineage: Eukaryota; Metazoa; Chordata; Mammalia; Primates; Hominidae
Description: processed transcript
Source: RNAcentral